AUACGGAGGGUGCAAGCGUUACUCGGAAUCACUGGGCGUAAAGCGCGCGCAGGCGGCUUGAUAAGUUGGAUGUGAAAGCCUACGGCUCAACCGUAGAACUGCAUCCAAAACUGUCAGGCUAGAGUGUGGGAGAGGAAGAUGGAAUUAGUUGUGUAGGGGUAAAAUCCGUAGAGGUAACUAGGAAUACCAAAAGCGAAGGCAAUCUUCUGGAACACUACUGACGCUGAGGCGCGAAGGCGUGGGGAGCAAACAGGAUUAGAUACCCUAGUAGUCC
Molecule: ribosomal RNA, 274 nt
Filed under: uncultured bacterium
Lineage: Bacteria
Description: partial 16S ribosomal RNA
Rfam family: Bacterial small subunit ribosomal RNA
Source: RNAcentral